CCCCAGAAGCACCACACCAUUUUUCUUCAUCUUCCGCAUCUGCACCUACCCUACUUUCACCAUGGAAACUAUACCUGCGCUCUAUAUAUAAGUGCUCCAGUCGAGCACCCAUUGCACAAAUUGUGAGCCAGGUCGCCAAUCCGAGUAGAAUAGAAACACAGGAAGGAGCAAAGAGACGAACGAUCGAGGAUGGCAAAGAACAACUCGUCUGCGACCUCGGUUCGGCUGAUGCUGAUUCUCCUCGUUCUGCUGGUUUUCGUUGGUGGCAUCCUGGCAAAUAGUGGGCCGUCCAAAUGCAGCAACCCUGCGGCUCAGCGAGACUGCCCGCGGAUCCCUAAUGGCGGCUCAUAAGCAAGAGAUGAACCAUUUCCGCGUAGCAGGAUUCGGUAGGAUCUUGUGUUGGCAGGCGUUGGAAGCUUCCUGUUAUAUGCGAAGCAAACAAUAUACAAGUUCUUGAGGUUGUCCGUGUGUUAUAUGUUUGUUUGUAUUGAUAUGUUUGUACUGUGACCUGGUUUCAUAUAAAUAAUAUGGCAUGCCCCUUGCAUUAAAAA
Triticum urartu is the source of this 551-nucleotide long non-coding RNA. RefSeq lists it as uncharacterized. The record is from RefSeq and is a predicted model, not a curated record. Lineage: Eukaryota; Viridiplantae; Streptophyta; Magnoliopsida; Poales; Poaceae.